ACGCCCCCAAAAUAGAUAUACAACACCCAUUCUGAGUCGCCAAAUAUAUGGUACAGAAAUAACUACAACUUUAUUAAUACAACAUAAAAACUGUGAGUUUAAAUACAAAUAUUGUCAUCUAGACAAUAUCCACACUCAAAUAAGUCCUCAUUACAAUUAUUAAUACACUAUUUUACAGAUUAGUGAGGACUACUAGAACAACUUCUAGAACCAUCAUUCCAUACCCCGACUAGUACUCGUUACAUUCUCGCCUCCUGAGAAGAAAAAUGGAACAACAAGGAAAAGGGUGAGCUCAACUAGCCCAGUAAAGAACAUUAUGACUAAGAUAAUAUAGAACAAAUUAGUUAGGUAUGUUCUGGAUCCAGGAUGUAAAAUAUCAGUGUAUUAAAUUCCACAUCAUUAUAAUAGACAUUCAUGAUUAUCUGUUCUAGAAAUACAGCUGCUCACUGUAUAUAAGAUUCAUUCAUAAUAUGCAUAUGCACUAAUUGUUUUUGUCAUAAUCAAAUAGAGGGAGAUUGUCAGGAAUAAGCAUGUGAAUGAUAUUCCUAUAUACAUAUGAUU
Molecule: long non-coding RNA, 561 nt
Filed under: Panax ginseng (ginseng)
Lineage: Eukaryota; Viridiplantae; Streptophyta; Magnoliopsida; Apiales; Araliaceae
Description: long non-coding RNA (PGIN_LNC013616)
Source: RNAcentral